UAUCCCACUAUCGUGGUUCGGGCAGUGGCACACCGGGGAAGGAACAGGUCUGAUUUGUUGUGCGCUUGUCACUGGCACAUAGGUGCGGGAAGGUUUGCGGUAUCGUUGUAAGCGUAUGGACGGCUCUGGUGGCAUCCGUGACAAAAAUCUCUUUUAGUUAGACAUCACAAACGAAAGGUUUUUGUGAUGUCUAGAAGUGGUGCUUCUGUGACGGUUUGGCAAAGAGUCCUGCCAGUGCUACUGGUGAGUAUGGCAUACAAUGACUUUUGGAUUACCCCUCAUAGCAGGAUAGUCAGUCCUACGUAUGGCGCCACGGUCCAUUCGGGGAUUGAACCCAUGACGGGCAUGUUAUUAAGUCGUACGAGUUGACGACUGUACCAUGAGACCGGCUGACUAUAGCUGCUUUAGUUAUUCGUUUAAGUAAAGGCAAUUUAACUAAGUAAGGUGGAUUACUGAACGCUAGGAAUUAUCGUUUAAAAAAUCUGCAGCGGUUACUCAUCAGCAGCAGAAAGAGUAAAAACCUUCCAACCAUAUUGACAACUGCCGCGACAAUCUGUCAAUACGGCAAAGCGACGAUAACCCUGGACGGAAUGUUUGUAUGAGAUGUUUGCUCCGCUGCUGUCACGUCAUCUGGUCGGUGACCAUUUUCACACGACCCACCACGGGGGAAAUAAGGCUACCUGGUAGACCUGGACCGCAAAGCUGCAUGCCCACUGAUUGCACCAGUAUCGAUGGUGUCAAUCGAUCUCAAUUCCGAUUCCGAUUGGUUCCAGUAGCGGAUCACCCCGCAUGAUGAUGACUUCCCGCAGCGAUACAGAGCCGCUGAGGGCUUCCAUGGAAGUUCAUUGCAGCUUCAGAUCCACGAUCAGAACAACAAGAGACGCAUCAUUUAUCAUCCACUACUUUUGGAGGCUUGGCCUCCAAAGUUAUGAUUGAUACUGAUUUGAAUCCCCGCCACACGUCACCAAGAUCCGAGAGUGUGCACUCGCGCACUGGUCGUCGUUGAAGGAUUUGAAAAGUGGCAGCGAAAGCAAACGGCGACUGUCGAUGGCUGUCCGAGCGGGUCGGAUUUUGUCAUGUUCCGAUUUGACCGGCAUUAGAGCAUUCUCUCCUACUCUCUCUAUCUCUUAUAAUUAAUUCUCUCUCUUUCUCUCUCUCUCUCUCUCUCUCUCUCUUCCUUUCUCUCUCUUUUCGAUUUCGUCUGGUAAUGGACCGGUGUUGGGCGAUUGCACCAGUUUCGAUUGCCUACUGUGCCACUUGUUCGCGGCGUUGUCAGUUUGUGACGCUGUCUCUGAAAGGGUUUGAGAGGUUUCUGCUUGUUUACUACGAACAGGUGAAUACGUUACGGUUGCUGUUUGCUUUUGUAGAGAGAAGGGAAAAAGGAUAAAAGGUCGGUAUGGAAGGGCGGCGUGCUGGUGACUAGUUCUACACCCAUCGCGGCGUUGGCAAGGUAACUCAAGGCUGUUUGAACUGCCCACUGCCCAUUCUUGGUACGGCAAAAAGAGGUACCGGUUAAAAAAAACUUUCGAUCAUGCGGUGGACAAACGAUAAAGAGAUACACAGCGUAGGAUUGAGUAGAACUUGAGCACACACAUUUGCUUAAAAAUUUAAUGCAGGAGAUAAAUGGUUAAAUCUAUGUAGGAUGCGUUUUUAAAUAAUUAUUCACAAUUUUAUCAUUUUUGCAGAUACACGCCUCUACAUCUGUUGAUGCGCGACAUUAAGAAGAAUAUGACAGUAAAAAUUCUCAUACUCUUGAUUUUGUUUUUGUUAAUUGAAUCAUCGUACCGUUUAUGAACUCUGAGUCUAAACUGAGUCAACAAAUUUCCAAACCCAUUCUAGAAUUGUCUGCUUACACUAUCGACCCUGAUAACUGAUUCAUUUUACAGUUAAUAUGAUCUUUUUGUCUCAGUAAUCUGCCCUAAUGUGGUCUACGUGUUGUCAUCUCUGAAAUGUUUGUAAUUGAGUUUGCACUUUUGGAAAUAUACAUCACACAUAAAAUCAUACAUACUGUUGAGACUAACUACUACUUUAAGAAGAAAAUAAAAAUGAUUGAUUGUGUAUGGUUCCAUAAUCACACUUCAAUUAAAUCUGGAUACGGUUUUGCCCAUCCGGCUCUUUCGAACUUACGAAAGCAAUGUCAGAUUGCGUAGACUUCACUGUCGGUGAAUGGCAAUUAUUCCAGCGUCACGAAGGUAAUCAUAC
Anopheles arabiensis is the source of this 2202-nucleotide long non-coding RNA. RefSeq lists it as uncharacterized. The record is from RefSeq and is a predicted model, not a curated record. Lineage: Eukaryota; Metazoa; Arthropoda; Insecta; Diptera; Culicidae. The transcript is spliced from 4 exons.